UUGCCAGCCGCCGCGGUAAUAACCGCGCCUCAAGUGGUAGCCACGAUUAUUUGGCCUAAAGCACCCGUAGCCGGCUUUGCAAGUCUCUGGUGAAACCCAGCAGCAGACUGUUGGAACGGCUGGAGAUACUACAAGGCUUGAGACCGGGAGAGGGCAAGAGUACAUCAUGUGGUAGGGGUAAAAUCCUUUAAUCCAUGAUGGACCACCUGUGGCGAA
Molecule: ribosomal RNA, 216 nt
Filed under: uncultured archaeon
Lineage: Archaea
Description: partial 16S ribosomal RNA
Rfam family: Archaeal small subunit ribosomal RNA
Source: RNAcentral